Molecule: long non-coding RNA, 208 nt
Organism: Anopheles bellator
Lineage: Eukaryota; Metazoa; Arthropoda; Insecta; Diptera; Culicidae
Exons: 3
Source: RefSeq, a predicted model, not a curated record
GUUCUUCUGGCGGCGGUGGAAUCCGUGAAUUUGUCGUCCUUUCUAUCGUCGUGACUGUGGCUCGGUUGUUUUGCUUCUUCGCACCCAAAGUGCCAUGAAUCUUUUCAAAGACUGUCACACUGGCCUCCCCGGGUGAAACGGUACCGCCCGUCCUGUGGCGCUCCCGUCGAAAAGCCGAUAUCCACAAACUUUGGAGACCGAAUGACGC